This 284-nucleotide unclassified non-coding RNA is filed under the name Hevea brasiliensis (rubber tree). Lineage: Eukaryota; Viridiplantae; Streptophyta; Magnoliopsida; Malpighiales; Euphorbiaceae. The record is from RNAcentral.
UAAAACGUAGUGUACCUUCGCUUCUUAAGUGUGGAGGGAACAACCCUGGAUCAAUAUCAGGUAUUAACUCUAAGUUGGAGCCUUUGCUUAGAGGUUCCAACAAAAAUGUGUUACAGAGCUCUGCCAUGAAUUCCAGUUCAGCAUCUUUUUCUGAUAAGCUAUUGGUGAGCUCACAGGAAAGAUGUGCCUCUAUCACAACAUCAGCUAAAUCAGCUGAAGGAAAAUUGGACAUAGAACCGACCAUAUCAAGUUUAUCUGGAGAUGCAAGAAAAAAGUGCAACGAG